Molecule: ribosomal RNA, 253 nt
Filed under: uncultured bacterium
Lineage: Bacteria
Description: partial 16S ribosomal RNA
Rfam family: Bacterial small subunit ribosomal RNA
Source: RNAcentral
UACGUAUGGGGCAAGCGUUAUCCGGAUUUACUGGGUGUAAAGGGAGCGUAGGCGGCGGGGCAAGCCUGAUGUGAAAGCCCGGGGCUCAACCCCGGGACUGCAUUGGGAACUGCCCUGCUGGAGUGCCGGAGGGGCAGGCGGAAUUCCUAGUGUAGCGGUGAAAUGCGUAGAUAUUAGGAGGGACACCAGUGGCGAAGGCGGCCUGCUGGACGGUGACUGACGCUGAGGCUCGAAAGCGUGGGGAGCAAACAGG